UUUUUUUUUAACGUUUAUUUAUUUUUGAGACAGAGAGAGACACAGCAUGAACGGGGGAGGGGCAGAGAGAGAGGGAAACACAGAAUCGGAAGCAGGCUCCAGGCUCUGAGCCAUCGGCCCAGAGCCCCACGCGGGGCUCGAACUCGCGGACCGCGAGAUCGUGACCUGAGCCGAAGUCCGACGCUUAACCGACUGAGCCACCCAGGCGCCCCGACACUUUCUUUAAAGAGUCGCACAGAACUUCUUAGAUCCUACUGUUGAAGUCGGUGGCUCCUCUCUGGUGAAAUGGAUCCUGGGAAGAUGUGGCACAGAAGGAGAGGAAAUUGUUACCUGUUGAGCUUAAACCCGUGACUUUCCCAUAAUCAUCCCGCAAGCUGCCUAUAACACGAAGAUCAAAAUUGAGGAUUUCUGGCUCCCAGUCUAGGGUUUGUCUUCCUAGACCAUAGGCUCUCCAACGGAAAGUGUUAGGACAUGAAAAUAUUUAAUAAAUCUGGCCUCUUAAUGUGAAAUAGGAGGGAGUGUGAAAGCCAAAUGUGUCUUGUGUAGUUCAACUCAUUUUCACCUGAGGAACAGUAUAACACAGUGGUUCUGACCUGGGACCCCAAAGGGUCCAUACAGUACCCUCUACACAAAUCCCAUCUCUAGCACUCACCAGCAAUGGGAACCUAGUUGAGUUAUUUAAUGUCUCCAUGCCUCCAUUUCUUUAUCUGUGAAAUGGAGAUGGUAAUUGUACCAAACUCAUAAGGUUGUGGGAGAUUUCAAUACAUUAAUAACUGUAAAGCUCCUAGGAGAAGGCCUGGACCGUAUUUACUACCAAGUAAUUAGGAGCAAUUCUAUUAUUAACAGUAGGCUGUAUAAUAAAGACAAACUAUUUUUAGUUGAACAAAAGAACACUCUUUACGAAUAUUAAUAUUAUUAAUAUUUAUUCCUGCUGUGCUUAUUGGCCACCUCCUGCGGUGAAGGCGUGAAUACUUAAUCCUAAAACAGGGCCCAUUGUUCAGAUAAAUUGCCUGUAGACUGAAAAUCUUGUACUCUUGCGUGCCAUCAGACGUUUUGUGGACAAUUAGCACAUGACUAUCAUGAGUGCUCUUGCUAAUUAAAGUCGCAUUAAUACCAAAGAACUGUACAAUGGCUGGUUCUAUACUGUCAUUUCUGCAAGCUGCAUUGUUCCAAGGACAAAGCGGCUGAUGUACUGUUUCUUUCCUUUCAUAAUGCUGAGCAUGGGUAUCUGAUAGACUUGCUUAGGCUGGCAAACUUUUGAGCAGAAGUGCUAGAUUUGUAUGCAUCUUCGAGAAUUGGGCAGUUUGAAGCUAAAGUGAGCUAGGAAAGAAAUAGGAAGUGAAAAAGUAGAACGGAAAGACAUAGGUAGAUAGAGGAAGAAAAAAGAGGAAGGAGGAAAGAAGGAGACUUGAAAAGACAUGAAAGAUAAAUGAAACCACUUAAAUGGAGAAGAGUUUAAGAGCCAAACAGGAGACGCUCCAGGCAGAAGGGUUUUCUAUUGAAGUGUUUCUGAUGCCAGACCAGUGCUUUGCAGGCUGUAAUGUACAUCAGAAUCGACCGGAGGACUUGUUAGAACAAUUUCCUGAGUCCCAUCUGCAGGGAUCCCGAUCCAAUAGGUUAGAGUGGAGCCUAAUGCAAAUUCUAACAAGUCCAGAGGGGGACACUGAGACUGCCGGUCUGAGGACACUUUGAGAACCUCUGGGUCAUACUAUAGUCACACAAAAUAAAAAUAGUAGUUCUCUGCUUUUUUUAAAUUGAGCUAUGUUUUUAUACAUAGUGAAUUGCACAGAUUAUAAUGGUCUUGGUUUGCUACCCUAAACAAUUCCCUCCUAAGUCAUGUGAAGAUUUACCUGUCUCCAUCGAGGAUAGCAGGAGACUUUUUGAACACAGUCCUAGUGUUCCCGAAUAAUAAAAUGAACUUCAGUGAGUUUUUUAGCUCUUUGAAGAAAAACAUAUAUUCUAUAACCUGGCAUUGGAUGCCAAAGAACUAGAAAGCACCUACAUUAUCUUGUUUAUUCCUGGAAUAUUCCCAGGCUCAUGUAAGCUAUAGCCCAUUUUUUUAACAUGAAAUUUAUUGUCAAAUUGGUUUCCAUACAACACACAGUGCUCAUCCCAACAGGUGCCCUCCUCAAUGCCUGUCACCAACUUUUCCCUUCUCCCCCACCCCCCAUCAACCCUCAGUUUCUUCUCAGUUUUUAAGAGUCUCUUAUGGUUUGGCUCUCUCCCUCUCUAACUUUUUUUUUUUUCCCUUCCCCUCCCCCCAUGGUCUUCUGUUAAGUUUCUCAGGAUCCACAUAAGAGUGAAACCAUAUGGUAUCU
Long non-coding RNA from Panthera uncia (snow leopard), 2318 nucleotides. RefSeq lists it as uncharacterized. Lineage: Eukaryota; Metazoa; Chordata; Mammalia; Carnivora; Felidae. The transcript has 3 exons. The record is from RefSeq and is a predicted model, not a curated record.